AUGCAGUCGAGCGAAUCUGAGGGAGCUUGCUCCCAAAGAUUAGCGGCGGACGGGUGAGUAACACGUGGGCAACCUGCCUGUAAGACUGGGAUAACUCCGGGAAACCGGGGCUAAUACCGGAUAAUAUCUAUUUAUACAUAUAAUUAGAUUGAAAGAUGGUUCUGCUAUCACUUACAGAUGGGCCCGCGGCGCAUUAGCUAGUUGGUGAGGUAACGGCUCACCAAGGCGACGAUGCGUAGCCGACCUGAGAGGGUGAUCGGCCACACUGGGACUGAGACACGGCCCAGACUCCUACGGGAGGCAGCAGUAGGGAAUCUUCCGCAAUGGACGAAAGUCUGACGGAGCAACGCCGCGUGAGUGAUGAAGGUUUUCGGAUCGUAAAACUCUGUUGUUAGGGAAGAACAAGUAUCGGAGUAACUGCCGGUACCUUGACGGUACCUAACCAGAAAGCCACGGCUAACUACGUGCCAGCAGCCGCGGUAAUACGUAGGUGGCAAGCGUUGUCCGGAAUUAUUGGGCGUAAAGCGCGCGCAGGCGGUUCCUUAAGUCUGAUGUGAAAGCCCACGGCUCAACCGUGGAGGGUCAUUGGAAACUGGGGAACUU
Molecule: ribosomal RNA, 603 nt
Filed under: Priestia flexa
Lineage: Bacteria; Bacillati; Bacillota; Bacilli; Caryophanales; Bacillaceae
Description: bacterial SSU rRNA
Rfam family: Bacterial small subunit ribosomal RNA
Source: RNAcentral